Molecule: ribosomal RNA, 254 nt
Filed under: uncultured bacterium
Lineage: Bacteria
Description: partial 16S ribosomal RNA
Rfam family: Bacterial small subunit ribosomal RNA
Source: RNAcentral
UACGUAGGGUGCGAGCGUUGUCCGGAAUUGUUGGGCGUAAAGAGCUCGUAGGCGGUCUGUCGCGUCGAUCGUGAAAACUUGGGGCUUAACCCUGAGCUUGCGGUCGAUACGGGCAUGACUGGAGUUCGGCAGGGGAGACUGGAAUUCCUGGUGUAGCGGUGAAAUGCGCAGAUAUCAGGAGGAACACCGGUGGCGAAGGCGGGUCUCUGGGCCGAUACUGACGCUGAGGAGCGAAAGCAUGGGGAGCGAACAGG